RNAcentral lists this ribosomal RNA (483 nucleotides) under uncultured bacterium. RNAcentral describes it as "partial 16S ribosomal RNA". It matches the Rfam family "Bacterial small subunit ribosomal RNA", at positions 30 to 506 of the family's 1533-position model. The record is from RNAcentral.
AUUGAACGCUGGCGGCAGGCCUAACACAUGCAAGUCGAGCGGAUGAAGGGAGCUUGCUCCUGGAUUCAGCGGCGGACGGGUGAGUAAUGCCUAGGAAUCUGCCUGGUAGUGGGGGAUAACGUCCGGAAACGGGCGCUAAUACCGCAUACGUCCUGAGGGAGAAAGUGGGGGAUCUUCGGACCUCACGCUAUCAGAUGAGCCUAGGUCGGAUUAGCUAGUUGGUGGGGUAAAGGCCUACCAAGGCGACGAUCCGUAACUGGUCUGAGAGGAUGAUCAGUCACACUGGAACUGAGACACGGUCCAGACUCCUACGGGAGGCAGCAGUGGGGAAUAUUGGACGAUGGGCGAAAGCCUGAUCCAGCCAUGCCGCGUGUGUGAAGAAGGUCUUCGGAUUGUAAAGCACUUUAAGUUGGGAGGAAGGGCAGUAAGUUAAUACCUUGCUGUUUUGACGUUACCAACAGAAUAAGCACCGGCUAACUUCGU